UAGUAACCCAGCAAACCAUGUUGUUAUAUGCGCCUUCCCGUUACAUAACAUCCCUAAGAAAUGAGGUAUAUACCUGAUACAUCUCAAAACUAAUGUAUCUGAUACAUAACAUUUCAUAUAUCCAUGAAAUUAUUUGACUUAUUCAUAUAUCAUAUAUGUAACAUUGUUAUAUUACUGAAGUUACGUAUAUGAUACAUCUUCCAGCAUCCCUAAAAACAAUAUUACUCUGAUAUCUACUAGUGUGUAAUAUAGUUACAUAUCAUAUAUGUAACAUUCGCAAUAUAUAUUUUACAUUGCUAAUAUUAUGUAAAAGCUAUGUAAAUAUAGCAUAUUCAUGAUAUAUUACUCAGAUCUAUACAAGUACUCUUAUAAUACAUAACCUUUAUUAAAGUUGAACUGUUUAGAGAUUUUUGCCAGGACUAGUCCAGUGAAAAGUGAUAUGCAUUUUCUAACUUUUGAUUGUUAGUUAGAAGUGAUGAACUAUAAUAAUAAUAAUAUUCAAUAUUCUUUGAUUUUUCAUCAAUUCCGGAUUACUUUCAUCGUGGAAAUAUGUGAGAUAAAAAGUGAAAAACUGUAAUAAUAAUAUUCAACAUUCGAUGAUUUUUCACCAAUUCCAGAUUAGUUUCAUAGUGAAAAUAUGUGAGGUUUUGCAUCUCAAUCUUUUAUCCAAUGUGCAGACUUUGAGAAGAUAGAUAUCAGCCGAGUGGAUAAGGCUGGCCACAUUGAGGAUCAAGAGACAAAAAUAAGUUUUGGUUGAUGUAGGUACUGUGAUUACAUUAAAAAUUUUCAAUAAUUCUAUGAUCUUUCAUUUAACAAACACCCAAUUGUUAAAUUAUUAAAUCCUGUUUUACUAUUCAUAAAUUAUUUGUAAUAUUUCAAAUGUGGUGCAUACCAAACGUAGGAAUCUGGUUUUUGUUGAAUUUUCUAGGUUCAAAAUAAUAAUAUUGUUGACUAAAAAAUAUCUUUCUAGCAAAAAAUGAAAGAUGGAGUUUAAAUAUAUAUUUUUGGAAUGCACCUUAAUUCAUAAGUAUCUCUUUUCAUGUAAUUUAUAAGUGAUAUAUCUCUUAUUAAUUGAUGUUGGCUAGAUACCAGCAGUUUUAGUUUCAAUUGGUAUUGUGUAUCAUUUGUUAUAUUUUUGUUUGGAAGGUAUUGAAAAAAAUUCCAACAAAUUCACUAAAACAUAAUUUGUGUGGUGUCGGCAUAUUUAGAUUUUUUAUAUGUAGUUUGAUUAGUUUUUC
Long non-coding RNA from Harmonia axyridis, 1238 nucleotides. RefSeq lists it as uncharacterized. The transcript is spliced from 2 exons. Lineage: Eukaryota; Metazoa; Arthropoda; Insecta; Coleoptera; Coccinellidae. The record is from RefSeq and is a predicted model, not a curated record.